Long non-coding RNA from Argiope bruennichi, 7244 nucleotides. RefSeq lists it as uncharacterized. The transcript has 9 exons. The record is from RefSeq and is a predicted model, not a curated record. NCBI's taxonomy places the organism in Eukaryota, Metazoa, Arthropoda, Arachnida, Araneae, Araneidae.
GGCUAAAACUUGCGGAUCGAAACUUUAGGUUUGAGUUUCGUUUGUUUCGAUUUGUUAGGUGCAUUUUCACAGCCAUCUCCGACAUUGAACUGUUGGGAUGGCUGUGGCGAGUCUACGGUCAAGUACAAUUUCUUAAUUGGAUUGAAUCAAAAACAAUUUUCAUGACUAGUAAUGAAGCAAUCAGGUCCUAAAAUUAAAAAUUUGCUACAUUUAAGAAAGUUUCAAUGAUAACCAAUUUAGUUUUCAAGUUGAAAGUCUACUUGUCAUCUUGGGAGUUUUCACUGGAAUUGUGCGAGAAAAACAUUAUUAAAACUUAUUAUUUUACAGAAAAAGCUGAGAAUAGUGGCCAUCAGUCAUUCUGCACUAAGAUGAAAAUCUGCAAUUGAAAGAACUUUUCUAAUAAAUUAUUCAUAAUAUUUCGAAAAGGAUCUAUUCAAUAUUACAAAGAAUGGAAGCAAAUCCUCUUUAUAUAUAUACCAUCUUUUAUUAUAAUUGCUUCCUAUGGUUCAAAAUGGUUCAGCUGCCAAGAAUAAAUAUAAUUUGAUAACAGGAAUAAAUAUGCGUCAUGCAAUAAAAUGCUACUUGAUUUAGAACUUAUUAGAUCUUAUAUUAAUGUUAUUUAAUAAUUAAAUAUAUUAUUCUUUAAAAAAAUUUUACAUACUUUAAAGCCUACUUUAUGGUUUUUUAAUUUAUGUUUAUAAAUAUAUUAAUUUGAAUAAGAAAUUAUGAUGUGGGUAAAAAAGAAUUUGUUAUAUUAAAAUGUGCAUAUUUGAAAAUUUUAAUAACGAAUUAUGAUAUAUUGUAUAUUUCUUUAAAACAAAAACAACAAACCAUAUUUUUUAGCAGAAUUUUUGAUGGCAUUUUAAUAUUCUUGUAAAUACUGUAAUUAAAGUUAAAAAGAUUUAUCAUUCUUUAGAUUUUGUUCUGAUAACAUAUGGAAAUCUUGAAAAUAUUUCAGUUAUAUAUAUUUUGGAAAUCUUAUAGAUUCUUCCCUAUGAACAUGAAUUAAGGCAUAUUUUUGUAGUAUAUAAAAAAAAAUCUUGUGUUUAUUUAAAGUAUGAACUUGUAGAAUUUUUGCAUAUUUCAAAUGUGAACAUAAAAAGAAGUCGUAUCCCCUUUAUUGUAAGGUUUUUGUCACUUUUAUGGCAGAAAGAAUGAAAUUUCAAAUGAGUUUUUGAGCAAAGCUAAGUCGUGUGCAAAACAGAGUUGUGUAUUAAAGUAAGCAAUACUGAAUUCAUGCAUCCAAACUCAGUUGAGCUCAACUAAAAUAAAAUUUGAUUUUCAUGUUUCAAAGCUAUAUUGAGACAAAAUCUUUAACAUGCUUUGUUCAAAAUAGUGAUUAAGAGUAUAUAAAAUUCAGAUACAGGCUCCCAAGAUGAACUUCUCUUCUAAAUAUGAACUUCUUCGAACUUACAUUUAAUCUUGCAUAUAUUUCGGAUAUUAUUUCUGGAGAUUUUUGUCUGUUGGGAUAAGAAGUUGUACCUUAUUCUAUGUUAAGGUUUUGUUAUCAUUUUGGUGGCCAUGCUGAAAUGCGAGUUGAGAAAAUAUGCCUUACUCAGAGUUAUGUAACAAUCCAUAUCAAAGUUUCAUGCAAAGGGAACACAAUAUUCAAGCAGCUUCUAGUGAAAAGGCUUUGUUCAAAACAGUUAAUAAAAGCAAAUUAAGUUCUGAAGGCAGGCUCCCUAAAUAAAUUUAUCUUCCAAGCAUAAACAUGUUUGUUGUGUUCCAUUUAAUCUUGUGUAUAUUUGCAGUGCAUUACCUUUGUCUGUUCCUGUAAUUUAGCCUGUUGCAAUAAGGACUUGCACUAUGUUUAAGUUUCGUUACCAUUAUUAUGGUUGCCAAACUGCAAUCAGGACUUGUGCUAUGUUAAAGUUUCGUUACCAUUAUUAUGGUUGCCAAACUGCAAUAAGGACUUGCGCUAUGUUUAAGUUUCGUUACCAUUAUUAUGGUUGCCAAACUGCAAUAAGGACUUGCACUAUGUUUAAGUUUCGUUACCAUUAUUAUGGUUGCCAAACUGCAGUAAGGACUUGCACUAUGUUUAAGUUUCGUUACCAUUAUUAUGGUUACCAAACUGAAAUUUGAGGUGGCUUGAAUAAAAUGCUUCAUUCAAAACUAAGUUGUGUUUUAAUUCAUAUUAAGGUUUCGUGCCUUAAUGUAGAGGGGGCACAAUAUUAAAACGGGCUUCUAGUGAACAUGCAUUGUUCAAAGGUAUAUUAAGUUCUGAAAGUAGGCUCUUAAAAAUAAAAUUCUCUUCUAAAACAAACAUGUUUAUAGUCUUCCAUUGAAUCUUGUAUGCAUUUUGUAAUGUAUUGUCUUUGUCUGUUGUUCUUGUAAGUAUGCUUGUUGAGAAAAGUUGAACCUUUAUUUCAUGCUAAGGUUUGUCACCUUUGUGAUGGCCCAACUGAGAUGAGCUUGAGUAAAUAUGCUUCACUCAAAACUAAGUUGUGUGUCAAUUCAUAUUAAGGUUUCAUAUCUUUAUGUGAGGGAGGGGGGACACAAUAUUAAAACAGGCUUCUAGAGAACAUACUUUGUUCAAAAAGGUGAUUAAGGGCAGAUACAAGUUCUGAAGAUAAAUUCCCAAGAUGAGAUUCUCUUCUAAACCAUAACAUGUUUGGACUAGACAUUGAAAAAAAUUGUAUAUGAAUUUGAGAUGUACAAUUUUUAUAGAAUUUUACUUUUGAAUAAUGAAGAGAAGGCACUGCUGAGUAAACUGAAGAUAAACUUUGGAUACUGAAUAAAUACAAUGGACAACAUAAUACAAAUUUAUGAUUGUAAGCUCUAAAAUAUUAUUUGAGCUAUCAUCCAAUUUAGAUUGUUACGGCAGCAACUUUUCGAAUGGCUACUUUAUGGGAAGACUGUUGCCAGUUGUUAUGGGAUAUGACAAAAUGAAAAUAUAGUGUUAUGACUGUCUGUAAUUGUUGGAGGUUUAUUAGUUAAUUUAUAUAAAUAGAUAAUACUAGUUUAUGAACUGAGGCUUAACUGACAGAUGUAUGUAUUAAAUAAAUCCAAAUUGAACUUUAUACAUUUUAUGUAAUAUAUAAUGUAAAUUAUGUACAUACAUUUUAUGUAAUAUAUAUAAUGUAAAUUAUAUAUAUUGUGAAAGACCGAAAUAAAAUAAUGUCAACAUUGUCCAGUGAAUGCCGACAUUCCUCAAAAUAGCGAACUACAUGAAUGCGUACAAUCACUGGAGAAAGAAGACAUAUCAGAUACUGAUCUUUCCCUGUAAAAUCUAUACAAAUAAUGCAUAUGCUUUUCAGUUCUUUGUUAAUGCUGUUAUAAUCAGUUCAGUGAUUUUGUUAUUUUUAAGUAUAUAUUUUUCAUGUUUUAUAUUUUUAUACAAAUGAUCCUCCAACUGCUCUAUCACUUGUCGAUUAUAUGAUGAAGUAAUUCUUGUAAUCUAAAGAGUAAGCAUCCUCACUCUUCAGAAUACAUGUUUUUUUGUAUGGGCUCCACAUGAAUUGGAUCCGUCAUACCCAUUAUGCUGCAAUGUUAUAGAUUAAAUGUUAUUAAUGCAAAAUAUUUUGAUUAAAAAAAAGUGCAAGGAAAUGUAUUUGUUCUAAGUUUCUUAUUUUAUUUCAGUACAUUUGGUUUUGCUUAUAGUAAAAUAUAUAAUCAGAAAAUGUCAAUCUGUAAUCAGUGUUAAAUAUGAUAGAUUCUUACUAUUUCAUUUAAUUUUUAAUUGCCAUGAUAGAAUAUAUUGCAUGGAAAAAGUGCAGUGAAAAAUUUAUUAAAAUUUAAAGGCCAGUUAUGAAUUUCCUUAUGCUUUUUCUCAUUCAAAGUACUUUGCAUUAUUUAGUUUUUUUAACCCUAUGAGCCCUGGCCGCCCAAUAUUGCCCUGUUCUACAGGGGCCCGAUUCAGGUACUUUGGGACGAUUUAAAUGGAAUGCUCAUUGCGAAAUACCUUUCACUCCUUAAACUCGUUUAACUGCUCCAAAGUGCCUGAAGCAGGCCCCUGUAGAACAGAGCGAUAUCGGGCGGUCAGGGCUCAUACGGUUAAUCAAUAACACUGCAGCUGAAGUAGCCCAAUAUCUUUUCAAAGUUUUAAUCUCAUUGCUUUUCAUUUAUAAUAAAAAUGUUAACUUUUCUAAUCAUGCUAUACAUUUAAGAGUAUUAAAAUAUUUUUUAAAAUCAUUAACUGAAAGUUCAUAUUUGAAAAUGAAAAUAUAUUUAAAUUACCAAGUUAAUUUUUUUAAAAUUUUAUUUUAAAAUAAAAUAUAAAAAAUAUAUAAUAUUAAUGAUUUUUCAACUUUGAAUUGAUAUUAGGCUUCCCACCAAACACUGACUAACUAGUCUUAACAGAUUGUAGCUGGCUGUAACGUUAGGUUAAAAAUUAAAAUUCUUUUAAAUUACAGAUGCCUAAUUUUUAUAGCAGUUUUGUUCUGUAAAAAGUAUUAAUCAUAUCAGUUUAAAUUCAAUAACAUAAAGGAUCGAAAUUAUUCCACUGAAUUCUUAUUUAAAAUAAAUUUUAAAACUUGGGUUCUCCAAGAUCCUUCCAUUUUGAAGGUACAUAAAGGCUAUUUUGAGAGUGACCUUGUAAUUUUGUAUUAUGGCGAGAUUAUAAAAAUGCAGCUACACUGAGAUCCUAACUUCAAAAAUUUCAAAUUCUGGAAUUUGAUCUUGAUGGAUAUAAUACACACUCAAUCUACAUCCACAAUAAAUUUAUGGAAUUGGAUCUUGUCUUGUAUACUUAGGCUAUCAAAAUAAAAUAAAGAAAAUAUUAGAAAAUAAACUUACAUAAUAUAAAGAUUAAAAAAAAAAAAAAAGAAUUUAGAACCAAAAUUGAUAAUAAAAAGCGAUUAUAUUCCAAAUUUCAGAUUUUCUUACUAAAUUACCAUAAUACUUUCUCUGUGUACCUUGCAUAUUUUGAAUUUCCAAUUCAGGUACACUCCAAAAUAAAAUUGAACACAAUUUGAAGAUAGGGGGGAAAAAGAGAAAAUUAUUCAUAUCUAUAGUACAGUUUGAUCCAUCAGCUUUUUUGUAUGGCCUAAAAUAUUGAAAAAAUUCAGUAUUUUCACCAAAAAGUUCAGUGUGCUGAUAAAUUGAGGCAUCAUGGUUAAGCCAUAUAAACUGGAGAAUGGAGGCUGUUUGUAUUUCUUUUCUAUUUCUUCCUCCUCUCCUCCUAAUAAAUCAAUGACUUAUGCUACAUGGCAUUUGCUAUGAUUAAUCUUGCCAAAUAAGCUGUUGGAAGAUAGACUGGGUGAGGCAUAUAACAGAUGACAGCAGAAAUUUUUAUAUUAAGAUUUAAUGAAUGAAUAUCUGUAAAUCUAGUUUAUUCAGAUAUUGAAAUGUAAUAAAGUGAUAUGUGUGAAUAUAUAUAUAUAUAAUAUAAUUGCCUAUAAAUUAUUAAUGCAUUGAUGUCUUAAAAAUUGUACUCGGGGUUUCCGAGUUAUUUAAUUCUUAAAUAUAUUUUUUUAAUUUUUAGUUUCCUAUUUAUAAAAUCUAUUUAUUUCAGUGGAAUUUAGAACAAAACUGCUAGUUAUAUAAUUUUCCAUAUAACUGUGUAAAAUUUUGUUCAGAUAUUACUUCAAAAAUUCUACAGUACUAAUAUACAAUUAUAGUUUUCUAUUUUAAAAUUUUAUUUGAAUAAACUUUACUGUUAUAAAACAAUCUCUCCCUACACCUUUUUGGAAUAACUAGAACAGUUUAUUUAUUAUUACCCUCUUAGUUGAAAUUAUUUAAAUUUUACUUUCAAUUUUGAAAAAAAUUAUGUUCUUGUUUAAACUUUUUUUAGUUGUCUAAUUGUUAAAAUGUUUGAAAUUCGUUUUUCAGAGCUAUUAUUUUAUGAAAAUUUGUUAUGUCAAAAAAAAAAAAAAAAAAAAAAAAAUUUAUGCACCUUAAAUAGACACUGAUGUUAAACACGGUAACAUCUAGAAGCAGUAAUGAAUGUUACACUGUUAAUGAAGUAGUAUAGUUUUAUUGAAAUAAGAUUUUAAAUUAUAAGUAAUUUAAAAUAUUCAAUAGGGAAUCAGCUACCAUUUUAUGGAUUUCUGGAUUGUAAAUUUUACUUAAAAUUCAAACCCUGAUAAUCUAAGGGAUAAAUUAAUAUUUACAAUUAAAGCAUUAAUAUUGGAAUUUUCUUUCCUAAAAUAUUCCGUAAAAACAAUUGUACCUCAAAUCUAAAAUUUGUUGUUGAUUCCCUGUUGCUUUACCAAAUCUAUUUGAAAAUUUGCUGUAAAAUGAAUUAUUUUAAAUUUGUUAAUAAUUAUUUUGUAUUGACCUUGUUACAGUUUUCUGCAAUAAAUCAUAACAAUAGAAAGACAAUAUUUGUUUCAUGACUCAUUUUCUAGUUUAAAAAUAUUUUAGAAUGAAUAAUUAACUACAUUGAAGAGACCUUUGUUAUCAUCUUGUUAAUGACAUGUUUAUUCUCUGUAAGAAGAAAAGCAAGUGAUAUCAGAUUUAAUUCUAUUUACUGAAAAUAUGUAUGAUAAAUUUGUGACGUUUUGGAACAUGUCAACAGGGUAGGGAGCCUUAAAUCGAUUGGACUGAUUACUUCGUUUAGGACUCAACACAAAAGCGGCUGUGCAUCAGUGUCCAAAAAAUUUACUCAACCUUAUAUAUUUUAACCGAUAUAAAACCCACAUUAGCUUAAAGAAUGCCUCGUGAAGAAACUAAAGAUAUGAUGGAACAAAGUACCCAGAUGAAAAUGGUGAAUGAUGCGAGAGAUGACGAUUUUCUAUUUCAUAUGAGUAAAACCGAGACAGGAAGAUCAACGUUUGAAUCUGACAAUGUUUACAAUGAAUGCAUGGUCGCAGAAGAAGAAAAUCAUUUUCCAGAACAAAAUCUGAAUGAAAAUACACCUUUUGUAAAAAACAGGCAAAUUCUUACUUCGGAUGAUAUUAAGAACAAUACAGUAACUGUACCAACAUAUGCGAACGAAAAGACUCCUAAGAGUCUGUCUUGGAAUGAACGGAAAUCCUUGAAGAUUCGUUACACCAAGCAGUAUCUUCUAGAUCGUAGGUAUGAUCCCUUGUCGAUGGAAUUUCCAAACUGUCUGCUUAAAUUUCUGCAAUCGAGAGAAGUACCUUUGAAAGAAACCGAAAAUUACAACGAAUAUCGGAGCAUGGACCACAUUCUUUUCUACACCAGUCUUCCAUACACCAGAAUGCGCAAUUCGCUUCCAACCGGAAUGAAACGAACACCAUUUAAGUUGUGUUACUGAAAAAAAAUAUCUAGAGAUAUUCAUAACAAAAUGCUAUUCAGAUGCUUUUUUUUUCUCAAAAGGUUCUCAAUUUUAUACUGAAAUA